Brachypodium distachyon (stiff brome) is the source of this 136-nucleotide non-coding RNA. The record is from Rfam. Lineage: Eukaryota; Viridiplantae; Streptophyta; Magnoliopsida; Poales; Poaceae.
AUAAUACUCCCUCUGUCCAACAAAGGAUGUCUCAAUUUUGACUAAAUUUGAAUGCAUCUGUAUACUAAGUCAUGUCUAGAUACAUCCAAAUUUUGACAAACUUGAGACAUCUUUUGUUGGACGGAGGGAGUACCAA